UUUACAUUGGCGGCAAUUCAUCUAAUUAAAGGNAACUUGUUUAAUAAUCGAUACAUCACGUUAAAUUUCACUUAAAUUAUAUAAUUUAUAUAUCGCCAUCCUAAGAAUCAAUUUAAAUAAAAUAUUCUAAAUAUUUUAAAUAUCUAUUCAUAUAAAAAGUUAGGUCAAGGUGUAAUUUACAUAUAAGAUAUAAAUGAGUUACAAUAAAUAUUACUUAAAAAUUAUUAUUAUAAAAAUUAAUAUGAAAGAGGAUUUAAUUGUAAUACUUUAAUAAAAAUUAAAUAUGAACAAGACAAAAAUGUGCACAC
This 308-nucleotide ribosomal RNA is filed under the name Ctenus cf. amphora. RNAcentral describes it as "partial small subunit ribosomal RNA". The record is from RNAcentral. Lineage: Eukaryota; Metazoa; Arthropoda; Arachnida; Araneae; Ctenidae.